Molecule: ribosomal RNA, 497 nt
Filed under: uncultured bacterium
Lineage: Bacteria
Description: partial 16S ribosomal RNA
Rfam family: Bacterial small subunit ribosomal RNA
Source: RNAcentral
GAUGAACGCUGGCGGCGUGCCUAAUACAUGCAAGUCGAGCGAACGGACGAGAAGCUUGCUUCUCUGAUGUUAGCGGCGGACGGGUGAGUAACACGUGGAUAACCUACCUAUAAGACUGGGAUAACUUCGGGAAACCGGAGCUAAUACCGGAUAAUAUUUUGAACCGAAUGGUUCAAAAGUGAAAGACGGUCUUGCUGUCACUUAUAGAUGGAUCCGCGCUGCAUUAGCUAGUUGGUAAGGUAACGGCUUACCAAGGCAACGAUGCCUAGCCGACCGGAGAGGUGCACCGCCCACACUGGAACGUCACCCCGGCCCAGCCCCCUACGGGAGGCACAAGUGGGGAAUUUUCCCCAAUGGGAGAAACCCUGACGAAGCACCCCCGCGUGAGUGAUGAAUUUCUUCGUCUCUUAAAACUUUUUUAUGAGGGAAAAACUUUUUUUUAGGUAACUGUGCCCACUUUGACGCUCCUUAAUCAAAAACCCCCGGCAAACUCCGUG